AGAGUUUGAUCCUGGCUCAGGAUGAACGCUAGCGGCAGGCUUAACACAUGCAAGUCGAGGGGCAGCGGGGAGGAAGCUUGCUUUCUCCGCCGGCGACCGGCGCACCGGUGAGUAACACGUAUGCAACCUGCCCCUGUCAGGGGGACAACCCGCCGAAAGGCGGGCUAAACCCGCGUACAUGCCACCGGGGCAUCCCGGAGGCAGGAAAGGCUUCGGCCGGACAGGGAUGGGCAUGCGGCGCAUUAGGCAGUAGGCGGGGUAACGGCCCACCUAACCGACGAUGCGUAGGGGUUCUGAGAGGAAGGUCCCCCACACUGGUACUGAGACACGGACCAGACUCCUACGGGAGGCAGCAGUGAGGAAUAUUGGUCAAUGGUCGGGAGACUGAACCAGCCAAGCCGCGUGAGGGAUGAAGGUACAGAGUAUCGUAAACCUCUUUUGUCAGGGAACAAAGGCGGGGACGCGUCCCCGGAUGAGUGUACCUGAAGAAAAAGCAUCGGCUAACUCCGUGCCAGCAGCCGCGGUAAUACGGAGGAUGCGAGCGUUAUCCGGAUUUAUUGGGUUUAAAGGGUGCGCAGGCGGUCUGUUAAGUCAGCGGUCAAAGCCCGGGGCUCAACCCCGGCCCGCCGUUGAAACUGGCAGUCUCGAGUUGGAGAGAAGUAUGCGGAAUGCGCGGUGUAGCGGUGAAAUGCAUAGAUAUCGCGCAGAACUCCGAUUGCGAAGGCAGCAUGCCGGCUCCACACUGACGCUGAGGCACGAAAGCGUGGGUAUCGAACAGGAUUAGAUACCCUGGUAGUCCACGCAGUAAACGAUGAAUGCUGGCUGUCCGGGGGGACUGACCCCUGGGUGGCGAAGCGAAAGCGAUAAGCAUUCCACCUGGGGAGUACGCCGGCAACGGUGAAACUCAAAGGAAUUGACGGGGGCCCGCACAAGCGGAGGAACAUGUGGUUUAAUUCGAUGAUACGCGAGGAACCUUACCCGGGCUCAAACGGGGAGUGACUCAGGCAGAGACGCCUGUUUCCCACGGGACACUCCCCGAGGUGCUGCAUGGUUGUCGUCAGCUCGUGCCGUGAGGUGUCGGCUUAAGUGCCAUAACGAGCGCAACCCCCGCGUGCAGUUGCUAACAGAUAACGCUGAGGACUCUGCACGGACUGCCGGCGCAAGCCGCGAGGAAGGCAGGGAUGACGUCAAAUCAGCACGGCCCUUACGUCCGGGGCGACACACGUGUUACAAUGGGUGGUACAGCGGGAAGCCAGGCGGCGACGCCGAGCGGAACCCGAAAUCCACUCUCAGUUCGGAUCGGAGUCUGCAACCCGACUCCGUGAAGCUGGAUUCGCUAGUAAUCGCGCAUCAGCCAUGGCGCGGUGAAUACGUUCCCGGGCCUUGCACACACCGCCCGUCA
RNAcentral lists this ribosomal RNA (1402 nucleotides) under uncultured bacterium. Its description in RNAcentral is "16S ribosomal RNA". It matches the Rfam family "Bacterial small subunit ribosomal RNA". The record is from RNAcentral.